UGAGGAAUAUUGGACAAUGGGCGCAAGCCUGAUCCAGCCAUGCCGCGUGCAGGAUGACGGUCCUAUGGAUUGUAAACUGCUUUUGUACAGGAAGAAACAGUUCUACGUGUAGAACCUUGACGGUACUGUAAGAAUAAGGAUCGGCUAACUCCGUGCCAGCAGCCGCGGUAAUACGGAGGAUCCAAGCGUUAUCCGGAAUCAUUGGGUUUAAAGGGUCCGUAGGCGGUUAGAUAAGUCAGUGGUGAAAGCCCAUCGCUCAACGGUGGAACGGCCAUUGAUACUGUCUGACUUGAAUUAUUAGGAAGUAACUAGAAUAUGUAGUGUAGCGGUGAAAUGCUUAGAGAUUACAUGGAAUACCAAUUGCGAAGGCAGGUUACUACUAAUGGAUUGACGCUGAUGGACGAAGGCGUGGGUAGCGAACAGGAUUAGAUACCCAAGUAGUCCCUGAGCGGGCUGGCAAGGCGCAU
Molecule: ribosomal RNA, 467 nt
Filed under: uncultured bacterium
Lineage: Bacteria
Description: bacterial SSU rRNA
Rfam family: Bacterial small subunit ribosomal RNA
Source: RNAcentral